RNAcentral lists this ribosomal RNA (496 nucleotides) under uncultured bacterium. RNAcentral's name for it is "partial 16S ribosomal RNA". It matches the Rfam family "Bacterial small subunit ribosomal RNA", at positions 29 to 507 of the family's 1533-position model. The record is from RNAcentral.
AUGAACGCUGGCGGCGUGCCUAAUACAUGCAAGUCGAGCGAACGGACGAGAAGCUUGCUUCUCUGAUGUUAGCGGCGGACGGGUGAGUAACACGUGGAUAACCUACCUAUAAGACUGGGAUAACUUCGGGAAACCGGAGCUAAUACCGGAUAAUAUUUUGAACCGCAUGGUUCAAAAGUGAAAGACGGUCUUGCUGUCACUUAUAGAUGGAUCCGCGCUGCAUUAGCUAGUUGGUAAGGUAACGGCUUACCAAGGCGACGAUGCAUAGCCGACCUGAGAGGGUGAUCGGCCACACUGGAACUGAGACACGGUCCAGACUCCUACGGGAGGCAGCAGUAGGGAAUCUUCCGCAAUGGGCGAAAGCCUGACGGAGCAACGCCGCGUGAGUGAUGAAGGUCUUCGGAUCGUAAAACUCUGUUAUUAGGGAAGAACAUAUGUGUAAGUAACUGUGCACAUCUUGACGGUACCUAAUCAGAAAGCCACGGCUAACUACGUG